Rosa rugosa (rugosa rose) is the source of this 103-nucleotide small nuclear RNA. The record is from RefSeq and is a predicted model, not a curated record. Lineage: Eukaryota; Viridiplantae; Streptophyta; Magnoliopsida; Rosales; Rosaceae.
AUUCUCAUUUUUAGAACAUUUGACAAAUUUGAAAUAAUAAAAAGAUUAACAUGACCUUUGCACAAGGAUGAAAAGCACAAAUUUAGUAGUGAUUCUUUUUUUU